RNAcentral lists this ribosomal RNA (327 nucleotides) under uncultured eukaryote. RNAcentral's name for it is "partial 18S ribosomal RNA". It matches the Rfam family "Eukaryotic small subunit ribosomal RNA", at positions 1470 to 1796 of the family's 1831-position model. The record is from RNAcentral.
CCCUUAGAUGUUCUGGGCCGCACGCGCGCUACACUGACGAAUGCAACGAGCUUAUAACCUUGGCCGAAAGGUCUGGGUAAUCUCCAAAUUUCGUCGUGAUGGGGAUAGAUUAUUGCAAUUAUUAAUCUUCAACGAGGAAUGCCUAGUAAGCGCAAGUCAUCAGCUUGCGUUGAUUACGUCCCUGCCCUUUGUACACACCGCCCGUCGCUCCUACCGAUUGAAUGGUCCGGUGAAGCGCUCGGACCGCGGCCUCUUGACGGUUCGCUGUCGAUUGGCUGUGGGAAGUUCGUUAAACCUGAUCAUUUAGAGGAAGGAGAAGUCGUAACA